Peromyscus leucopus (white-footed mouse) is the source of this 1681-nucleotide long non-coding RNA. RefSeq lists it as uncharacterized. The record is from RefSeq and is a predicted model, not a curated record. The transcript has 6 exons. Lineage: Eukaryota; Metazoa; Chordata; Mammalia; Rodentia; Cricetidae.
ACUGAAUGAUACCCUGGCUUUUGAGCACAAGUCAGGUUCACAACAGAGUCUUUCAGAACCAAGGUGGGGUCGGAGGAGUAGGCAGGAGCCUCUGUCUCCCUACAGUAGCCCCAGAGUCGGGGCCAGAAAACUUGGAACGUGAGACCUCCCACUACACUUGAAGGCUCAAAACGAAGGUUUUGUCUUUGGUGUCUUUCCAUUCUCCAUCUCGGCAAGCUUCAAAUCCAGCUAGGAGGCUGACGCUGUUGGAGGCUGAUAAUGAAUUUUUACCGAGGAGAGGAGCUGCUGCCAGGAGUGAUAACACGCUUGAAUGACGAGCAGUUCAGCUCCGGAGCCUUUUGAAACCGUCCACUGAUACAGCCUUGGGGCAGAACAGAGGUGGCCUGAGAGACUCAGCGUGCCUGGAGACGGAGCAGGGAGCAACUGGACCCGGCUGUGGUUGACUGGGAGGGUGACGGUGGCAGACACAGAAGCCAGCACAUAAGCACAUAGUUUCUGGGAGAAACCUGGUGAGCCUGUGAUAUGCAGAUGAAGUGUCUCUGGGGACAAAGGCUGUGAUCUGAGAUCAGAAGUUCUCAUGUUCUGGGUAGUGCAAGAAAGUUGAAUGCCAUGUUCCCAGCACAUGUUUGCUGUCCUGAAGUCCCUGUCAGCCUAGCCUGCAGGACUGUCUUCCACCCAAUGACGUGAUACCUUGUGGUUAAAUGUCAUCGUCACUUGUCUAGAUUCUGUACCGCCAUCAACACACACCUCUGGGCUUCUAGAAAGAUUUUACCGAAGAGAAAGUACUCAGCCUCAGGUAUUCUGCUACGGAACAGAAAACGGUAGACAUGGAACUCCUAGUAGUAAACAAUGCAUGGAAACAGAGUAAGCUACAAAGCUUCAGCCAGGACCCGUGGAUGUUUCCAGCAGAAGUGACAAGACAGGAACCAUUUCCUGUGGCAACUCUGUCCUGGGAGCCAUACACACCGCUUCAGUUGCUUUAUUAAGACAGAUUGUGGAGACUACGGAAGCUGAGAGAGGCCUGUCCAUAAAUGAUCUUUCUGAUAAACAUCCAUAUCACCUGGGAACAUGUCAGGUUUGAGAAGCACUGGUUUAGAAAUCAGGGAGUGGGGAAGGAGGAUGACGAACAGCCCAGGAGGAGGAAGACCAGAAGGCAUGGUGGAAAUCCAGCCAACAACGACUUAGAAGUAGAAGAGGCCCCCACGGUGUGCCCUGCACCCUGGAACCAUGGGAUUUACACACUGUUCCCAAGAUGGGGAAAAUCCGGAGGAGAGGGACCUAGAGGACCAGAGCCUCUGAGCACGUGGGGGAAGGUGAGAUGGAGCGGCAGGAAAUAGCCAGGAACGUCCACCCUGGUGCUCCCUCCACAGUCAUAGGCAGGAAGAAGAUGACGUGGACCCGAGGCACAGGCAGGCCGGUAAGGAUUCAGAGGAGAGGGGGAAAGUCUGCCAACGAAGUCUUGGUUUGGUUUUUCCAGCUUUGCUAAACCAGUUAAGAAGUAGGGUAGUGAACUGGGGAUGAGGAUGGAGAAGGAAUAUGGUGGUCUAGGACGGAGGGGAAUGAAGAGGCAGUGAGGACAGGGGCCCUGGAGCACAGAGGGUCCGCUUCAGCUGUGAUGAUCUUAGCAAACAUUGAAUGGCGUAUUUCUUUGUUCAAGGAAAUCUUUUCUGAAAAAAAAAAA